UGGCGCUGUGAGCAGACGUUGAACUCGCCUUCUCCCACGAACACAAUCAGGUUACAACAAUUUUGGGAAGAAUCACCCUGGAUUGAAAACUGAAAGCUGGAUAAAAAGAACCCCCAUGACAAGCGACAGUCCUGACGAAAGCAGAAGAGGCAGUAACUCUGGCCGAAGAGGAAAAAAGCCACCUUUGGGAGCAGCGGAGCUUCUCAGCUGGCCAGGCGGGAGCCAACCUAAGUUGUUAAGCUGAACUUUGGAAGCACCUGAGACUUAACAAAAACAAGAGAGAAUACUGAAAAUGGAAAUUUUGCACAGAAUUAAGAUGGACUUUCACCUUAGAUUUGGCAAAAGGGAUUCUGGAGGUUCCAGGACCUAGAAGAACACAACUUGUUGCUAACAAAACCUUAUUGUCAUUUCCAAAAUAAGAACAAUAAACAGGAACUUCAAGGCAGGCAAUUAAAAUUUAAUUUGUCCUAUGAUGAAAAGUAAAUCCUUUUAUCCUGUGUCCGAAGUCUGAAGAGGUACAGACUCUAUUACAAAAUGAGACUGUGGCUGAAGGUUUCUUGGGCCCUCAUGACCCUGUGAUGUGAAAUGAUAAUAAUCCAAUCAAAGGAUUGCCAUAAAAAAGUCUGCACAUAAACGAUCGUGAGAGGAAAGACAAUGUCCAAGAGAAAGGGGUUGUUGGUCAUGCUCUACAUUAAACUUUUCAGAUGAAAGCUUCAUUUUUAUUUUUUGCAAUAGAG
This 737-nucleotide long non-coding RNA is filed under the name Equus caballus (horse). RNAcentral describes it as "lncRNA (ENSECAG00000054599.1)". The record is from RNAcentral. Lineage: Eukaryota; Metazoa; Chordata; Mammalia; Perissodactyla; Equidae.